Molecule: ribosomal RNA, 468 nt
Filed under: uncultured bacterium
Lineage: Bacteria
Description: partial 16S ribosomal RNA
Rfam family: Bacterial small subunit ribosomal RNA
Source: RNAcentral
GACGAACGCUGGCGGCGUGCUUAACACAUGCCAGUCGAACGGAAAGGCCCUGCUUUUGUGGGGUGCUCGAGUGGCGAACGGGUGAGUAACACGUGAGUAACCUGCCCUUGACUUUGGGAUAACUUCAGGAAACUGGGGCUAAUACCGGAUAGGAGCUCCUGCUGCAUGGUGGGGGUUGGAAAGUUUCGGCGGUUGGGGAUGGACUCGCGGCUUAUCAGCUUGUUGGUGGGGUAGUGGCUUACCAAGGCUUUGACGGGUAGCCGGGCUGAGAGGGUGACCGGCCACAUUGGGACUGAGAUACGGCCCAGACCCCUCCGGGAGGCAGCAGUGGGGAAUAUUGCACAAUGCGCGGAAGCCAGAUGCAGCAACGCCGCGUGCGGGAUGACGGCCUUCGGGUUGUAAACCGCAUUCGCCUGUGACGAAGCGUGAGUGACGGUAAUGGGUAAAGAAGCACCGGCUAACUCCGUG